RNAcentral lists this long non-coding RNA (471 nucleotides) under Rattus norvegicus (Norway rat). Its description in RNAcentral is "long non-coding RNA NONRATT019701". The record is from RNAcentral. Lineage: Eukaryota; Metazoa; Chordata; Mammalia; Rodentia; Muridae.
AUCCAGAUGCCUUCCCAUUGGCCAUGCUACUCAGCUUUCUGCUGCCUCUACUUCCUGGGGCUGGCCUAGCCUGGUGCUACUACCAGCUCCCAACACUCUGUCAGCAACCAGGACGGUGCUGCAGGAGGGACGCCCUAUGUAAUAGGGACCAACCUCUGGGCAGUGUUCACCCUGUGGAGUUUGGCUCCAUCAUCACUGGAGAGCCCUCGCCCCCGAACCCUGAGGAGUCUGAGCUUACCUAGGAGCUGCCUGCCCUCUGAGGCUUGUGCCGUGCAGACCUGCCCGAUCCCUACGCCUCUGGGCCCAGUCCUCAGUGACUCAGUGCACUCUCAUACUUCCGAUGGCCGGAUGCUGAGCUCCCUACUCACCACAGGAACCCAGAGCCAUCUCAUGAUGUAUCCCACCUGCCGGGAGAGCCGUGCUAUUCUGAAAUGUCACAAUGUAUCUAGUAACAGUAAAUCCACAAGCUCU